RNAcentral lists this ribosomal RNA (562 nucleotides) under uncultured Alphaproteobacteria bacterium. RNAcentral's name for it is "bacterial SSU rRNA". It matches the Rfam family "Bacterial small subunit ribosomal RNA", at positions 337 to 917 of the family's 1533-position model. The record is from RNAcentral. Lineage: Bacteria; Pseudomonadati; Pseudomonadota; Alphaproteobacteria.
UCCUACGGGAGGCAGCAGUGGGGAAUCUUGGACAAUGGGCGCAAGCCUGAUCCAGCCAUGCCGCGUGUGUGAUGAAGGCCUUAGGGUCGUAAAGCACUUUCGCCAGAGAUGAUAAUGACAGUAUCUGGUAAAGAAACCCCGGCUAACUCCGUGCCAGCAGCCGCGGUAAUACGGAGGGGGUUAGCGUUGUUCGGAAUUACUGGGCGUAAAGCGCACGUAGGCGGACUAGUCAGUCAGAGGUGAAAUCCCAGGGCUCAACCCUGGAACUGCCUUUGAUACUGCUAGUCUUGAGUUCGAGAGAGGUGAGUGGAAUUCCGAGUGUAGAGGUGAAAUUCGUAGAUAUUCGGAGGAACACCAGUGGCGAAGGCGGCUCACUGGCUCGAUACUGACGCUGAGGUGCGAAAGUGUGGGGAGCAAACAGGAUUAGAUACCCUGGUAGUCCACACCGUAAACGAUGAAUGCCAGUCGUCGGGCAGUAUACUGUUCGGUGACACACCUAACGGAUUAAGCAUUCCGCCUGGGGAGUACGGUCGCAAGAUUAAAACUCAAAGGAAUUGACGGA